CCUACGGGAGGCAGCAGUGAGGAAUAUUGGUCAAUGGGCGCGAGCCUGAACCAGCCAAGUAGCGUGAGGGAAGACGGCCCUACGGGUUGUCAACCUCUUUUGUCAGGGAGCAAGGUGCAGGUCGGGACCUGCUGCGAGAGUACCUGAAGAAAAAGCAUCGGCUAACCCCGUGCCAGCCGCCGCGGUAAUACGGAGGAUGCGAGCGUUUUCCGGAUUUAUUGGGUUUAAAGGGUGCGCAGGCGGAGGCACAAGUCAGCGGUAAAAUCGCGGGGCUCAACCCCGCUCCGCCGUUGAAACUGUGUCCCUUGAGUGCGCGAAGGGUAGGCGGAAUGCGUGGUGUAGCGGUGAAAUGCAUAGAUAUCGCGCAGAACUCCGAUCGCGAAGGCAGCCUACCGGCGCGCAACUGACGCUCAUGCACGAAAGCGUGGGUAUCGAACAGGAUUAGAUACCCCUGUAGUC
This 459-nucleotide ribosomal RNA is filed under the name uncultured bacterium. Its description in RNAcentral is "partial 16S ribosomal RNA". It matches the Rfam family "Bacterial small subunit ribosomal RNA", at positions 338 to 795 of the family's 1533-position model. The record is from RNAcentral.